UACAGAGGGGGCAAGCGUUGUUCGGAAUUACUGGGCGUAAAGGGCGCGUAGGCGGCCUUCUAAGUCAGACGUGAAAUCCCCAGGCUCAACCUGGGAACUGCGUCUGAUACUGGAUGGCUUGAAUCCGGGAGAGGGAUGCAGAAUUCCAGGUGUAGCGGUGAAAUGCGUAGGUAUCUGGAGGAAUACCGGUGGCGAAGGCGGCAUCCUGGACCGGCAUUGACGCUGAGGAGCGAAAGCCAGGGGAGCAAACGGG
This 253-nucleotide ribosomal RNA is filed under the name uncultured bacterium. Its description in RNAcentral is "partial 16S ribosomal RNA". It matches the Rfam family "Bacterial small subunit ribosomal RNA", at positions 524 to 776 of the family's 1533-position model. The record is from RNAcentral.